Pezoporus flaviventris is the source of this 678-nucleotide long non-coding RNA. RefSeq lists it as uncharacterized. The record is from RefSeq and is a predicted model, not a curated record. Lineage: Eukaryota; Metazoa; Chordata; Aves; Psittaciformes; Psittacidae. The transcript is spliced from 3 exons.
AAAUCAAUAAGAAGCAGGAAUGCCUGUGCAAAGAGGGCAGGUUACGCAUGAGCUGGAGAAAAGGCUUUUGGGUUGCCCACACCCUGCACACAGGCUUGGAGAGGGUGGGAUUACAGCACAACAUCUGUUUGCUCACAAGAGAUGCCAGUAACAUUUUGGGAAAGUCUCUUCUCUUAUGCAAUAAACUGCAGGAAAACAGUCAGAAGAGACCCAGUGUUUGGAAGAGACAGACAUGGCUGAGGUGACAUUUGUGGGGGAUGCAUCCUAAGCCCUGUGGAGGCUGCAGCACGUGCCAGAAAGUGCUGCAGACCCAGACAGGCAACUGGUGGAAGCGGGUGAGAAAAGAGCCAGCCAAAGCAGGAACACAGCCUGCAUCUGAGGAGCCUGAGGAAAAGUUCUGCCAUCAGACUCUUGCAGGUCUGGGACUGCUCUUCUCCCUCCAAACCAAAGAAAGGCUGUGUGUUUGCAGAUACGUAACACCACAGCACCUGAUAUCACCCCCAAAGGCCAUACACUUGUAUUGAUGAAUCGAGGUUUGACAGACCAGCUCCUCCUGCAGACAAGUACUCUUCUUACAGCAUAUCAGAGCAUUGUGAAACAAUGAAAUAGUUCCAGAAAAGUGAUAUACUAGGACAAACCUGAGGCAAGCUGACAACAGAAGCACAUUCAGAUCUACAG